This is a long non-coding RNA of Aethalodelphis obliquidens (Pacific white-sided dolphin), 1044 nucleotides long. RefSeq lists it as uncharacterized. Lineage: Eukaryota; Metazoa; Chordata; Mammalia; Artiodactyla; Delphinidae. The transcript is spliced from 2 exons. The record is from RefSeq and is a predicted model, not a curated record.
CUCACAGGGUUGGGUUGAGGCUCCAGUGGGAUAAUGUUUCUGAAAAUGUCUUGCAAACUAGGGAAUUCGAUACACACGACGGCUAGAGAAAGUGGAAAAGAAAGGAAGGAUUUGGGGAAGCUGAGGCAGGAAUGGACAUCCAGCCACCUCACAGAGGAAGAGCUUGGGUUCUUGGAGCACUGAGGGUGCCCACCCACCACCAGCUAGGGGCCCAUGUGCUUAAUACAUAAAGCAACUCUAGUAGGAGCCGUGGCUACAGGGUCCUGUAAUGUCAGAGCUAGAAGGAACAUGAGCGAUCAUGGGGUACAACCCCACCUCCCUACCCCAUUUUACACAUGUGGGAACCGAGGCUCAGAGAGGGAAACGGGCUUGCCUCACAUCAUCCAGGGCAGCAGAGGCAGAGCUGGGACCAGACUCACUUCCCGAUGCAAAGUGCAGAGCACCAUUUCCACUGCCCCACGAACCUGAAGGCAAACAUUCCCCACCCCAGUAACUGGAAGGCUACUACCUGUACCAGAGGAUGGCUGAUGUCUCUGGAGGCCGAGUUGGGAGCAGAACGAACCUACUUACAUGGUCCUUCCAUCCGAUCCAAUUCAGGCAAGGGUAGGAGGGACUCAGGCCCGACCUACGGGAGAACUGCCCACACCAUCAGGACCCAGAGGCUGCGUUACUCAAUACCUUCAAAAGCUGUGGGGUGGGAUUGGGAGCCAGAGCUUGUUCUAUUCCUCUUUGCCUCUCAACUUUUGGCAAGAUACUAAACCUCCGCCUUGGUGUGAUCGCCUGUAAAAUAUUAGGGGCUGUAAGGAUUAAACAGAAGACAUGUGAAAGCACCUAGCGUAGUGCCUGAUAUACGGGUGCUCAAUAAACAGUCCUGGAUCUGUGUCUGAGAGCAUAUGGUGAACCCGUAUCUGCAGAUGAAACCGUCAGGCCACAGCGGCUCCACACAUUACAAGGUGGAUCUGAGCUGGGUUGCCCCUUCUGGGGGAGGAUAGUGGCCUGGCCGUAAUCUCGCUUGGCGCCAGGGAAAUAAACCUGGUGGCCUUC